UGGGGAAUCUUGGACAAUGGGGGCAACCCUGAUCCAGCCAUGCCGCGUGAGUGAUGAAGGCCUUAGGGUCGUAAAGCUCUUUCGCCUGUGAAGAUAAUGACGGUAGCAGGUAAAGAAACCCCGGCUAACUCCGUGCCAGCAGCCGCGGUAAUACGGAGGGGGUUAGCGUUGUUCGGAAUUACUGGGCGUAAAGCGCACGUAGGCGGACCAGAAAGUUGGGGGGUGAAAUCCCGGGGGCUCAACCCCGGAACUGCCUCCAAAACUAUUGGUCUAGAGUUCGAGAGAGGUGAGUGGAAUUCCAAGUGUAGAGGUGAAAUUCGUAGAUAUUUGGAGGAACACCAGUGGCGAAGGCGGCUCACUGGCUCGAUACUGACGCUGAGGUGCGAAAGUGUGGGGAGCAAACAGGAUUAGAUACCCUGGGUAGUCCACACCGUAAAACGAUGAAUGCCAGUCGUCGGGUAGCAUGCUAUUCGGUGACACACCUAACGGAUUAAGCAUUCCGGCCUGGGGAGUACGGUCGCAAGAUUAAAA
Molecule: ribosomal RNA, 531 nt
Filed under: uncultured bacterium
Lineage: Bacteria
Description: bacterial SSU rRNA
Rfam family: Bacterial small subunit ribosomal RNA
Source: RNAcentral